RNAcentral lists this ribosomal RNA (467 nucleotides) under uncultured bacterium. RNAcentral describes it as "partial 16S ribosomal RNA". It matches the Rfam family "Bacterial small subunit ribosomal RNA", at positions 28 to 507 of the family's 1533-position model. The record is from RNAcentral.
GACGAACGCUGGCGGCGUGCUUAACACAUGCAAGUCGAACGGUGAAGCUCCAGCUUGCUGGAGUGGAUCAGUGGCGAACGGGUGAGUAACACGUGAGCAACCUGCCCCUGACUCUGGAAUAAGCGCUGGAAACGGCGUCUAAUACUGGAUACGAGAAGGGUCCGCAUGGCCCCUUCUGGAAAGUUUUUCGGUUGGGGAUGGGCUCGCGGCCUAUCAGCUUGUUGGUGAGGUAAUGGCUCACCAAGGCGACGACGGGUAGCCGGCCUGAGAGGGCGACCGGCCACACUGGGACUGAGACACGGCCCAGACUCCUACGGGAGGCAGCAGUGGGGAAUAUUGCACAAUGGGCGAAAGCCUGAUGCAGCGACGCCGCGUGAGGGAUGACGGCCUUCGGGUUGUAAACCUCUUUCAGCAGGGAAGAAGCGAAAGUGACGGUACCUGCAGAAGAAGCACCGGCUAACUACGUG